GAUGAAGAACGUAGCGAAAUGCGAUAAGUAAUGUGAAUUGCAGAAUUCAGUGAAUCAUCGAAUCUUUGAACGCACAUUGCGCCCGCCAGCACUCUGGCGGGCAUGCCUGUUCGCGCGUCAUUUCAACCAUCAAGCCCCCAGGGGCUUGUGCUGGGGCCCUGCGGCUGCCCGCAGGCCCUGAAAACCAGUGGCGGGCUCGCUAGUCACACCGAGCGCAGUAGCACAUCUCGCUCAGGGCGUGCGGCGGGCUCCUGCCGUGAAACCCCCCACUGUAACCCCAAAGGUUGACCUCGGAUCAGGUAGGAAUACCCGCUGAACUUAAGCAUAUCAAUAAGCGGAGGA
This 342-nucleotide unclassified non-coding RNA is filed under the name soil metagenome. RNAcentral's name for it is "partial contains 5.8S ribosomal RNA, internal transcribed spacer 2, and large subunit ribosomal RNA". The stretch from base 1 to 120 matches the Rfam family "5.8S ribosomal RNA", at positions 35 to 154 of the family's 154-position model. The record is from RNAcentral.